This 87-nucleotide transfer RNA is filed under the name Zavarzinia compransoris. It matches the Rfam family "tRNA". Rfam says of the family: Transfer RNA (tRNA) molecules are approximately 80 nucleotides in length. Their secondary structure includes four short double-helical elements and three loops (D, anti-codon, and T loops). Lineage: Bacteria; Pseudomonadati; Pseudomonadota; Alphaproteobacteria; Rhodospirillales; Zavarziniaceae. RNAcentral also lists the same sequence under 2 other names. The record is from Rfam by way of RNAcentral.
GGAGGGGUGGCCGAGUGGUUGAAGGCGCACGCCUGGAAAGUGUGUAUACGGGAAACCGUAUCGUGAGUUCGAAUCUCAUCCCCUCCG